GAAGGCUCACACGGACCCAGAAGAUGAGAGAGGCCGGGCUGGGUGGAGCGAGAAGAGAUGCGGCCAGCCAGUACCUCCCCCACUCACCCCCCCCGGACGUCUGUCGAUAAGAACGAGUCUGUCCCCCUCGAUCAUCGGGCCCUUCAAACUCACACGAGGCCGAGCUGGGCUUCAGAACCCCGGCUGAUCCCACGUGGGCCCCUGCAGCACCACAGUGCUACUUCCUCAAGAUUUUGGUGAUGCCAACACCGGAACACGGUGGCACUGUUGCAGAAUAUUGGGGAAAGGCCCGUCUAGGUUGGACAGGAGACACGAAGAAGAAGAAGAAGAUCGACCCCUCUAGUGGUGCUUUACAAUGCAAGCCGACGGCGGUCAGCGAGGGCGGUGACGGAGUGGAUGGAGAGACAGGGGCUGGCAGUGGAGCUGGUGUUGCUGGCGUAGGUAAGGCAGAAUAAGGUGGAACGUGAUGGCGAGUGAGGGUGUCUGAUGGGUGCAACGUGGAUGAGAGGCGGUGGGGGUAUGGGGCACGAGCGUGAAGUGGUGAAAUGGGCACGGAUGAGGGUAGGUGGAGGGUGGUAGGGGCAGAGAGGUCUGGUGGCCGGAUGGUUGAGCUGAUUGAGGUGCACAGAGUAUGGCUGGGGGAUAGAUGUGGUUAGGUGCACAUAGAAAGCGAGGGCGUGUGAAUCAGUAGCGUGACCUAAACGGUACCAUUCUCACAUUAAGGCAAGUAAGACAUGUUGUUAAAUCAUCAUCACCAUCAGCAGAACAUUAUCGGCAUAUGAGCUCCAUAAUUGACGAAAAUUAGUUUGUGUGGUUCCAACCAUUGUCAACAGCGAUGUUUAACCACCAGUGACUAAAGCUGCAAACGUCCCCACGGUGGUAGCCCAGGCUGCCUGCCUCCGCUGCACAACACGUACACAUUUGGUGGGACUUGAACGGUGAUAUUUCACAGACAAGGUCUAAUGCAUUCUUACAGCAAAGUACAGUGAGGGAAAAAAGUAUUUGAUCCCAUGCUGAUU
Petromyzon marinus (sea lamprey) is the source of this 1019-nucleotide non-coding RNA. The record is from RefSeq and is a predicted model, not a curated record. NCBI's taxonomy places the organism in Eukaryota, Metazoa, Chordata, Hyperoartia, Petromyzontiformes, Petromyzontidae.